UCCUACGGGAGGCAGCAGUGGGGAAUAUUGCACAAUGGGCGCAAGCCUGAUGCAGCCAUGCCGCGUGUAUGAAGAAGGCCUUAGGGUUGUAAAGUACUUUCAGCGGGGAGGAAGGUGAUAAAGUUAAUACCUUUAUCAAUUGACGUUACCCGCAGA
Molecule: ribosomal RNA, 156 nt
Filed under: uncultured Enterobacteriaceae bacterium
Lineage: Bacteria; Pseudomonadati; Pseudomonadota; Gammaproteobacteria; Enterobacterales; Enterobacteriaceae
Description: partial 16S ribosomal RNA
Rfam family: Bacterial small subunit ribosomal RNA
Source: RNAcentral